Molecule: small RNA, 1054 nt
Filed under: Rattus norvegicus (Norway rat)
Lineage: Eukaryota; Metazoa; Chordata; Mammalia; Rodentia; Muridae
Description: uncharacterized LOC102551482
Source: RNAcentral
GGUUCUGAUGCUUUGAUGGGGCCUGGGGGGUUCUGCAUGUAACGCUGAAGGCCCUGUUCUCCAAUUGGUUCUUUAUCGAUCAAUAAAGAUGCUACUGGCCAAUGCUGGGUGGAAGAGGCGGGACUUCCUGGUUCCAGUAGGCUUGCUAGAAGACGCAGGAGGAGAAAGGGAUUCCCCACGCUUCAGAGAUUUUAUACAAAGACACAAAGAGAGGAAAUAAAACAGAAGAAGAAAUGAAGGGAAAGAGCACAAAAUUUGAGGAAAACAUCCAAUCGAAAUGUUUUUAGAUCAACUCUGUAGCUCACAGAGAGUGUCCGCUCCAGCCUGUUGCAGUUUUCUCUGAUGUGGCAUCUAUCGCUUCUCUACUGAUUUUUGGGGAAAGCUGGUCUUCAGAACCCUGGGCAUGCACAAAGACUGGAUCUGGGAAACACCAGGUGGAAGAGAAAAAUCCCUGGAAUUUACUUUUUAUGAAGAAAAUUGAAGUAAUACUGUACAAGUGGCUCAAGGGGACAAGCUCGCAACAGUCCAGCUGGCAUUCUUGCCAGGUAUUUUUAUAAACUACAGAGUUUCCAUCAGUUGGGGACUGAGUAAAGCUCAGCUGAAGGGUCUGUCAGUAUCUCCGUGUCAAAGGGACAUGUCAUACACCGAGGACGUCUCCAUCCAUGUUGCCUUCCAAGCCUUUAAGAGUCUUCUUUGGGAGACAAGAGCACUUUAAGCUCCCGCUCCUUUGGUGUAUCUGGCUUUACUCUCCGUCUUUUCUUCUUGCAUAACAAAGCAAUUUUUACUGGUUUGUGGGACAUCCACAAAGGAGAAAGAUAUUUUAACUUGAUAAUAAAAAGCAAAUAAGAGGAAACAAAAACAAGCAAUUAAGGGGAAAAAAAAGUUUCCUUCCCAGUCAAAAAUUUCCUUACAAAACAUUCAGAAAACUUCCCACACAAUCAAUACCUUACUUAUCUUGGUUUUCAAAGACCUUAGCUUUUGUAAGAAAUGUUAUAAACGUAUAUUAAAGCACAAGACUUGAGCCACCAUCAAUGUCAGGAGGUAAUGUUGGGGG